RNAcentral lists this ribosomal RNA (216 nucleotides) under Triticum aestivum (bread wheat). Its description in RNAcentral is "partial small subunit ribosomal RNA". The record is from RNAcentral. Lineage: Eukaryota; Viridiplantae; Streptophyta; Magnoliopsida; Poales; Poaceae.
AUGAAAAUCAUAAGCUGGAAUUGCCGGGGACUCGGGAAUGGUCCGGCAGUUCAAUCUCUUCUCGAUCUGGGGAGAGUGGAGGAUCCCGAUUUACUUUUUUUAUGUGAGACAAGAUUGGAGGAGAAGGAGUUGGAGCGUUUUCGAUGGAGCCUCGGGCUAGCACAUGUGGUUUCAUGGAAGACAGAAGGGAGAAGUAGGGGAGUUGCUCUAUUCUAG